AAUCAACGCUGGCGGCGUGCCUCAGACAUGCAAGUCGAACGAUUAAGACUUCCUUCGGGAAGUGCAUAAAGUGGCGCACGGGUGAGUAACACGUAAGUAAUCUACCUUCGAGUGGGGAAUAACGUUCGGAAACGAACGCUAAUACCGCAUAAUGCAGCGGCAUCGCAAGAUGACAGUUGUUAAAGGAAUUUAUUUCGCUUGAAGAGGAGCUUGCGGCAGAUUAGCUAGUUGGUAAGGUAACGGCUUACCAAGGCUACGAUCUGUAUCCGGUCUAAGAGGACGGUCGGACACACUGACACUGAAUAACGGGUCAGACUCCUACGGGAGGCAGCAGUCGGGAAUUUUGGGCAAUGGGCGAAAGCCUGACCCAGCAACGCCGCGUGAAGGAUGAAGUAUUUCGGUAUGUAAACUUCGAAAGAAUAGGAAGAAUAAAUGACGGUACUAUUUAUAAGGUCCGGCUAACUACGUGCCAGCAGCCGCGGUAAU
This 486-nucleotide ribosomal RNA is filed under the name uncultured bacterium. RNAcentral's name for it is "bacterial SSU rRNA". It matches the Rfam family "Bacterial small subunit ribosomal RNA", at positions 32 to 524 of the family's 1533-position model. The record is from RNAcentral.